CAGGUGAGGGGCAGCAGGUGGCAGGGCCUCAUUAGGCUCAUUAGGGCUCAUUAAGGCUCAUUAACCUCAUUAGACUCGUUAGGAUGAUGGAGGAGCUGGGGGGUCCCCAGGGUCAGCAGGGGGGACCCCGAUGUUGGCCUUGUUUGGGUGGUGGGGACUCGUUAAGGCUCAUUAAGGACCUGCAGAGGCUCAUUAGGGGAUGGGGAGCUCAUUAAGGCUCAUUAGGGAGCUGCAGAGGCUCGUUAGGGGAUGGGGAGUUCGUUAAUGCUCGUUAAUUGUUGGGGGCUCAUUAAGGCUCAUUGAGUGCUGGGGGAUGCUGAGGUGAGAUUAAUGAGGCUAGAGGUUAACGAGGUCAGCAGGGUUAAUGAGAUCAGAAGUCAAUGAGGUUAAUGAGGUCAGCAGGGUUAAUGAGAUCAGAAGUUAAUGAGGUUAAUGAGGUCGGCAGGGUUAACAAGGUUAAUGAGGUCAGUGGGAAUAAUGAGGUUAAUGAAGGAUCUCUGGGUUAAUGAGGUCAGCGGAGUUAACGAGAUCAGAGGUUAAUGAGGUUAAUGAAGGAGCUCUGGGUUAAUGAGGUCUCCGGGGUUAAUGAGAUCAGAGGUUAAUGAAGGAGCUCUGGGUUAAUGAGGUCAGCGGGGUUAAUGAGAUCAGAGGUUAAUGAAUGAGCUCUGGGUUAAUGAGGUCAGCAGGGUUAAUGAGAUCAGAGGUUAAUGAAGGAGCUCUGGGUUAAUGAGGUCUCCGGGGUUAAUGAGAUCAGAGGUUAAUGAAGGAGCUCUGGGUUAAUGAGGUCAGCAGGGUUAAUGAGAUCAGAGGUUAAUGAAGGAGCUCUGGGUUAAUGAGGUCUCCGGGGUUAAUGAGAUCAGAGGUUAAUGAAGGAGCUCUGGGUUCAUGAGGUCAGCGGGGUUAACGAGGUCAGAGGUUAAUGAAGGGUUAAUGAGGGGCUCAUUGGGACCCCGCCCCCCGGCCGGUGGGGGAGGGGCCGGAUGUACAGAUUUUGUAGGGGGGAGGGGCUGGGCGCGUUUUUAACGAGCUUUGGGGCUAAUAAAGGAGGAUUUGGUUAAA
Molecule: non-coding RNA, 1059 nt
Organism: Agelaius phoeniceus (red-winged blackbird)
Lineage: Eukaryota; Metazoa; Chordata; Aves; Passeriformes; Icteridae
Source: RefSeq, a predicted model, not a curated record